This 138-nucleotide small nucleolar RNA is filed under the name Heterocephalus glaber (naked mole-rat). The record is from RNAcentral. Lineage: Eukaryota; Metazoa; Chordata; Mammalia; Rodentia; Bathyergidae.
CUGGCCCUGAAUCAAGGCCGGCAGUUUUCUGAAGUUGUUGGUUUCAAGCAGGAGCCUAAAGAGAUGUCUUUCUUAUGGUCUGUUGGCCAUUUCAGAACUUGGCAAAUGGAAUGGUCAAUUCAUUAGAAAGAAACAGUA